RNAcentral lists this ribosomal RNA (498 nucleotides) under uncultured bacterium. RNAcentral describes it as "bacterial SSU rRNA". It matches the Rfam family "Bacterial small subunit ribosomal RNA", at positions 15 to 507 of the family's 1533-position model. The record is from RNAcentral.
GAUCCUGGCUCAGGAUGAACGCUAGCGGGAGGCUUAACACAUGCAAGUCGAGGGGCAGCGGGUGUAGCAAUACAUGCCGGCGACCGGCGCACGGGUGCGUAACGCGUAUGCAACCUACCUUUAACUGGGAAAUAGCCCCGAGAAAUCGGGAUUAAUGUCCCAUACUAUUCUGAGAAUGCAUAUUCUUAGAAUGAAAGCUCCGGCGGUUAUUGAUGGGCAUGCGUGACAUUAGCUAGUUGGUGAGGUAACGGCUCACCAAGGCUACGAUGUCUAGGGGUCCUGAGAGGGUUAACCCCCACACUGGUACUGAGACACGGACCAGACUCCUACGGGAGGCAGCAGUAAGGAAUAUUGGGCAAUGGACGCAAGUCUGACCCAGCCAUGCCGCGUGAAGGAUGAAUGUCCUAUGGAUUGUAAACUUCUUUUAUGCAGGAAAAAUAUCUCGGUCGUGAACCGGGACUGAUGGUACUGUAUGAAUAAGCAUCGGCUAACUCCGUG